Molecule: ribosomal RNA, 253 nt
Filed under: uncultured bacterium
Lineage: Bacteria
Description: partial 16S ribosomal RNA
Rfam family: Bacterial small subunit ribosomal RNA
Source: RNAcentral
UACGUAGGGUGCAAGCGUUGUCCGGAAUUAUUGGGCGUAAAGAGCUCGUAGGCGGUUUGUCGCGUCUGCUGUGAAAACUCGAGGCUUAACCUCGGGCCUGCAGUGGGUACGGGCAGACUAGAGUGCGGUAGGGGAGAUUGGAAUUCCUGGUGUAGCGGUGGAAUGCGCAGAUAUCAGGAGGAACACCAAUGGCGAAGGCAGAUCUCUGGGCCGUAACUGACGCUGAGGAGCGAAAGCAUGGGGAGCGAACAGG